This 253-nucleotide ribosomal RNA is filed under the name uncultured bacterium. Its description in RNAcentral is "partial 16S ribosomal RNA". It matches the Rfam family "Bacterial small subunit ribosomal RNA", at positions 524 to 775 of the family's 1533-position model. The record is from RNAcentral.
UACGAAGGGUGCAAGCGUUACUCGGAAUUACUGGGCGUAAAGCGUGCGUAGGUGGUUCGUUAAGUCUGUCGUGAAAGCCCCGGGCUCAACCCGGGAAGUGCACUCGAAACUGUGAGGCUAGAGUAUCGGAGAGGUUGGUGGAAUUCUCGGUGUAGAGGUGAAAUUCGUAGAUAUCGGGAGGAACACCGGUGGCGAAGGCGGCGACCUGGGGUAGAUACUGACGCUGAGGUGCGAAAGCGUGGGGAGCAACAGG